Molecule: long non-coding RNA, 93 nt
Organism: Myripristis murdjan (pinecone soldierfish)
Lineage: Eukaryota; Metazoa; Chordata; Actinopteri; Holocentriformes; Holocentridae
Exons: 3
Source: RefSeq, a predicted model, not a curated record
UUCCCAUUUUUAAUUUUUAGUUUAUUUAAUCAAGGGACAGUGCAUAUUAAUAGAACAAAAACAAUUGUAAAUAUGCCAGAGUUAGCCAGAAGG